This 443-nucleotide ribosomal RNA is filed under the name Pseudomonas sp. E146. RNAcentral's name for it is "bacterial SSU rRNA". It matches the Rfam family "Bacterial small subunit ribosomal RNA", at positions 30 to 476 of the family's 1533-position model. Lineage: Bacteria; Pseudomonadati; Pseudomonadota; Gammaproteobacteria; Pseudomonadales; Pseudomonadaceae. The record is from RNAcentral.
UUGAACGCUGGCGGCAGGCCUAACACAUGCAAGUCGAGCGGAUGACAGGAGCUUGCUCCUGGAUUCAGCGGCGGACGGGUGAGUAAUGCCUAGGAAUCUGCCUGGUAGUGGGGGACAACGUUUCGAAAGGAACGCUAAUACCGCAUACGUCCUACGGGAGAAAGCAGGGGACCUUCGGGCCUUGCGCUAUCAGAUGAGCCUAGGUCGGAUUAGCUAGUUGGUGAGGUAAUGGCUCACCAAGGCGACGAUCCGUAACUGGUCUGAGAGGAUGAUCAGUCACACUGGAACUGAGACACGGUCCAGACUCCUACGGGAGGCAGCAGUGGGGAAUAUUGGACAAUGGGCGAAAGCCUGAUCCAGCCAUGCCGCGUGUGUGAAGAAGGUCUUCGGAUUGUAAAGCACUUUAAGUUGGGAGGAAGGGCAGUAACUUAAUACGUUGCUGU